This 75-nucleotide transfer RNA is filed under the name Rubrivivax sp. Its description in RNAcentral is "tRNA-Arg". It matches the Rfam family "tRNA". Rfam says of the family: Transfer RNA (tRNA) molecules are approximately 80 nucleotides in length. Their secondary structure includes four short double-helical elements and three loops (D, anti-codon, and T loops). Further hydrogen bonds mediate the characteristic L-shaped molecular structure. tRNAs have two regions of fundamental functional importance: the anti-codon, which is responsible for specific mRNA codon recognition, and the 3' end, to which the tRNAs corresponding amino acid is attached (by aminoacyl-tRNA synthetases). tRNAs cope with the degeneracy of the genetic code in two manners: having more than one tRNA (with a specific anti-codon) for a particular amino acid; and 'wobble' base-pairing, i.e. permitting non-standard base-pairing at the 3rd anti-codon position. Lineage: Bacteria; Pseudomonadati; Pseudomonadota; Betaproteobacteria; Burkholderiales; Sphaerotilaceae. RNAcentral also lists the same sequence under 2 other names. The record is from RNAcentral.
GCCGCCGUAGUUCAACGGAUAGAACGAGCGCCUCCUAAGCGCUAGAUACAGGUUCGAUUCCUGUCGGGGGCGCCA